RNAcentral lists this small nuclear RNA (141 nucleotides) under Aotus nancymaae (Ma's night monkey). RNAcentral's name for it is "U4 spliceosomal RNA (ENSANAG00000009930.1)". It matches the Rfam family "U4 spliceosomal RNA". From Rfam's summary of the family: U4 small nuclear RNA (U4 snRNA) is a component of the major U2-dependent spliceosome. The record is from Rfam by way of RNAcentral. Lineage: Eukaryota; Metazoa; Chordata; Mammalia; Primates; Aotidae.
AGCUUUGCGCAGUGGCAGUAUCAUAGCCAAUGAGGUUUAUCUGAGGCGCGAUUAUUGGUAAUUGAAAACUUUUCCCAAUACCCCACCAUGAUGACUUGAAAUAUAGUAGGCAUUGGCAAUUUUUGCCAGUCUCUAUGGAGA